GGCACCAUGGCUUAGCUUGCUUAAAGCCCCUGCCUUAUAAACAGAAGAUCCUGGGUUCAACUCCUAGUGGUGCCU
Molecule: transfer RNA, 75 nt
Filed under: Pelodiscus sinensis (Chinese soft-shelled turtle)
Lineage: Eukaryota; Metazoa; Chordata; Testudines; Trionychidae
Rfam family: tRNA
About the family: Transfer RNA (tRNA) molecules are approximately 80 nucleotides in length. Their secondary structure includes four short double-helical elements and three loops (D, anti-codon, and T loops). Further hydrogen bonds mediate the characteristic L-shaped molecular structure. tRNAs have two regions of fundamental functional importance: the anti-codon, which is responsible for specific mRNA codon recognition, and the 3' end, to which the tRNAs corresponding amino acid is attached (by aminoacyl-tRNA synthetases). tRNAs cope with the degeneracy of the genetic code in two manners: having more than one tRNA (with a specific anti-codon) for a particular amino acid; and 'wobble' base-pairing, i.e. permitting non-standard base-pairing at the 3rd anti-codon position.
Source: Rfam by way of RNAcentral